GAUGAAGAACGUAGCGAAAUGCGAUAAGUAGUGUGAAUUGCAGAAUUCAGUGAAUCAUCGAAUCUUUGAACGCACAUUGCGCCCCAUGGUAUUCCGUGGGGCAUGCCUGUUCGAGCGUCAUUUACCCCCUCAAGCUCCGCUUGGUGUUGGGCGUCUGUCCCGCUUCGCGCGCGGACUCGCCCCAAAGGUAUUGGCAGCGGUCGUGCCAGCUUCUCGCGCAGCACAUUGCGCUUCUCGAGGCACCGGUGGGCCCGCGUCCAUCAAGCUCACCCCCCCAGUUUGACCUCGGAUCAGGUAGUGAUACCCGCUGAACUUAAGCAUAUCAAUAAGCGGAGGA
RNAcentral lists this unclassified non-coding RNA (337 nucleotides) under soil metagenome. RNAcentral describes it as "partial contains 5.8S ribosomal RNA, internal transcribed spacer 2, and large subunit ribosomal RNA". The stretch from base 1 to 120 matches the Rfam family "5.8S ribosomal RNA", at positions 35 to 154 of the family's 154-position model. The record is from RNAcentral.